This is a non-coding RNA of Ixodes scapularis (black-legged tick), 73 nucleotides long. The record is from Rfam. NCBI's taxonomy places the organism in Eukaryota, Metazoa, Arthropoda, Arachnida, Ixodida, Ixodidae.
GCCUCGGUUGCUCCAAGGCGAGAGCGCCGGCCUACGGAUCCCCAGGUGGCGGGUUCGAAUCCCGACCGAGGUG